This is a long non-coding RNA of Leptinotarsa decemlineata (Colorado potato beetle), 522 nucleotides long. NCBI's taxonomy places the organism in Eukaryota, Metazoa, Arthropoda, Insecta, Coleoptera, Chrysomelidae. The record is from RefSeq and is a predicted model, not a curated record.
GAUGAUAUCUCAAAUAAACGGCGGAAAUUGACGUUCAUUGACUUAUUAGGAAUGUGUCAAAUUUGAAAAAUUAUCUUUACUGUUAGUACAUUCGUUCUGUUCACUAUUUGGAGUACUUGGUGGAAUAAAACGAAAUUGCUCUUAAUUUGGGUGUUCCAGAAGUAAUGAUCUGAGUAUGAAAUACCUAAGAAAAUCAAAAAAAUCCAAAUUACAGGAUAAAAUUAUAUGUGUUGUUACUUCAAAGUGUGUAGUCUUGUAGUCUAACUGGCUGAAGAUGCAAAGCUUCGAAUAUAUCUGUUCCUGUAAGAAACGUCUUGUCAACAUCUGGUUUAGCAUGGUGGUCAGUGGCGUAACUAUACCGUUCGAGGUCCGUGGCAAAUUCAUUGGAUGGGCCCCCUCCCCCCAAUAUAAAGAAGCUGAACCAAAAAUAACAAUAUUUUUUUUAUUUUAUAAUACUCAUUUAUACACUUUUACUUGUAAUUGUAUAAUAAUAAAUCACUACAGUAAGUAGGUACAUACAAA